UUGCAGUGCCGGGAGGAGUCCUUGUUCUUUUCUGCAAACCUGCAGAGUUGAAACCAAGUGACUCCGCGGUGCCGAGGAAUUGGUAAUUCAGGAAUUUCCUUAGAGGAAUUAUUAUUUUCAAUAGCCAGCAAUCAACCUGGUUUCAAAGAAUAUAUUAAAGUCCUCUAUGAAAAACUUCAGUUGUGUGAGGAUUGCAGUCUCAGAUCCACGGAAGAAAAGGAAAUGUUUCCUUCAAAAUGGGAAAUCAGUUCUGUUUCAGUGGAGUUACUAUACUGCUGAAACAGAACUGCUCACAGUUUGUGGUCAUUGGGAGUGGGGCUGUGGCUGAGCCUCAUCCCCAGUGGGCUGCAGCUGUGAGCAGCAGGUCAUUAGAUCUGUGUCCACUGCCUUUAUAGCACUUCAUGUUAACUCAUAUGGCUGAAAGAGGUAUGAAUUCAAAGGUGAUAUGUUUUCAUAGGCACUUACUGAUUUUUUUUAUAUUUUUGUUUUGAAAAGAGGAGCCAGUUAGACUAGUGGUGAGCAAAUCAAUAAUUGUUCUCUGUGAAUAUGAAAUAACUGUGUUCCUGAAGGACAUUUCCAAGUCUUUAUUGUGGUACAGUAUUAUUUCUAGAUCAUCGUGUACCAGAGAAUAGAAAUUAAAGAUAAAAACAUGAUAGAAAGCUUUUAAAUAUUUUCCCUUGUUAAAGUGAUAGGUCCUGUUGAAACACUGUAGAGAAAAGGUUAAAAGAAACCAGCCAGCUGCUAUGGAUGGAGUAGAGAAGGACUGUCCAGUGGUGGAGAUAAAUGAACACUUGGGAAGAAUGGGCUUGGGUGCUUCAUGUCACAGGCACCUUUGGGUAGCUUGGCAUACUUUAGUUUGCUGUAAGUAACAUUAGAACCUAGGAAUAUUGCAUGACUUAACACUGAACUGGUAUGGUUUGCAUGUGUGAUGGUAACCUAAUAAAUAUCUCAUAAUAGAAAAAACAGGUUUAAUAAUUUAGGUGCUGAUUUCUAUCAUUGUCAUGGUCUCUGGAAGGUGCAUAGCUGUGAUUGUCAGUUAUUGUUCUUUUAUGGUCUCUAUAAAAUAUACUUAUUCAUUCAAGACUAUGUCUAAAACAUCACAAUUAUUGUGUGUUUCAUUUCUUUUAACAGUCCAAAUAAAGUCACUGAUCUCCUGGAGAUGAGUAACAAUACAAAAUCAACCCACUACACUGAUUAAACCCAGCUCUUUUUCCUCCAGUUCUAGGACAGUAAAUGGGUGUUUGAGCUUAUUCAAGGGUCAGUGGUUUUGAGG
This is a long non-coding RNA of Agelaius phoeniceus (red-winged blackbird), 1273 nucleotides long. RefSeq lists it as uncharacterized. The record is from RefSeq and is a predicted model, not a curated record. NCBI's taxonomy places the organism in Eukaryota, Metazoa, Chordata, Aves, Passeriformes, Icteridae.